GGAUAGGUGGUGGAAUUGGUAGACACUAAAUCAACUGCAAUAGAGUACGUCCAACCUCUACGUUAAACAAUAAAGGGUUUCGAGACUGGAGAGUCUUGCGAUGCAGGUUCGAAUCCUGCCCUAUCCA
Molecule: transfer RNA, 127 nt
Filed under: Caudoviricetes sp.
Lineage: Duplodnaviria; Heunggongvirae; Uroviricota; Caudoviricetes
Description: tRNA-Ser
Rfam family: tRNA
About the family: Transfer RNA (tRNA) molecules are approximately 80 nucleotides in length. Their secondary structure includes four short double-helical elements and three loops (D, anti-codon, and T loops).
Source: RNAcentral